RNAcentral lists this ribosomal RNA (508 nucleotides) under Blastocystis sp. subtype 3. RNAcentral's name for it is "SSU rRNA". It matches the Rfam family "Eukaryotic small subunit ribosomal RNA", at positions 31 to 560 of the family's 1831-position model. The record is from RNAcentral. Lineage: Eukaryota; Bigyra; Opalinata; Blastocystidae.
CUCGUCUCAAAGAUUAAUCCAUGCAUGUGUAAGUAUAAAUAGUUAACUUUGAAACUGCGAAUGGCUCAUUAUAUCAGUUAUAGUUUAUUUGAUGAAGAAUCACUAAUUGGAUAACCGUAGUAAUUGUAGAGCUAAUACAUGUAUAAAGUCUUGUAGACUGCAUUUAUUAGAAUGAAAACCAUAGGUUUCGGCCUAUUCGUGAGUAAUAAUAACUAAUCAUAUCGUAUGCUUAUGUAACGAUGUGUCUUUCAAGUUUCUGCCCUAUCAGCUUUCGAUGGUAGUGUAUUGGACUACCAUGGCAGUAACGGGUAACGAAGAAUUUGGGUUACGAUUUCGGAGAGGGAGCCUGAGAAGAUGGCUGACCACAUCCAAGGAAGGCAGCAGGCGCGUAAAUUACCCAAUCCUGACACAGGGAGGUAGUGACAAUAAAUCACAAUGCGGAACAAUGUUUUGUAAUUGGAUUGAGAACAACGUACAAACCUUAUCGAUAAACAAUUGGAGGGCAAGU